This 672-nucleotide ribosomal RNA is filed under the name Triticum aestivum (bread wheat). RNAcentral describes it as "partial small subunit ribosomal RNA". Lineage: Eukaryota; Viridiplantae; Streptophyta; Magnoliopsida; Poales; Poaceae. The record is from RNAcentral.
AUGAAAUGCCUGAGUUGGAACUGCCGGGGGCUUGGGAACCCCGAGGCAGUUCGAGAGCUUCGGAAAUUAACGAAGCAAGAAGUGCCUGCCCUGCUCUUUGUUUCGGAGACGAAGAUUAGGGCUAGAAGAGUAGAGAUCCUGCAACAAAGUCUUGGCUUUGCGGGAUGCUUUGCAGUGGAUAGUGCAGGACUAAGCGGUGGUAUCGGUUUGUUCUGGUCAAGUGAUGUUAAGGUUGAAUUAAAAAACUACAGUUCUGGACACAUUGAUGUUAUGGUUCAGAAAGCUGAUUUGUCUACUCCCGAAUUGAGGUUUACGGGCUUCUAUGGUGCGCCAAGAAAAGAGGAUAGACACCAUAGUUGGCGCUGUUUGAGAAUGUUGCAUGCAAUACCGCACCAUGCAUGGUUGUGCCUUGGAGAUUUUAAUGAAACACUGUUUGGAACUGAACAUUUUAGCAGGGCCGAGAGGCCAGAAGUGCAGAUGUUAGCUUUUCGGAAAGCAUUGGAAGAUUGUUCCCUGCAGGAUCUUGUGUUUUCAGGGGUACCGUACACAUGGGAUAAUAAGCAAGGGGGUGUGAUGAAUGUGAAAGCCCGCCUUGAUCGAGGUGUAGUGAACGAGGGGUUCCUACAAAGGUUUGACCCUGUGCGUGUUCGCCAUAUCAGUGCGGUGGAAUAA